This 358-nucleotide ribosomal RNA is filed under the name uncultured bacterium. RNAcentral's name for it is "bacterial SSU rRNA". It matches the Rfam family "Bacterial small subunit ribosomal RNA", at positions 28 to 351 of the family's 1533-position model. The record is from RNAcentral.
GACGAACGCUGGCGGCGUGCCUAAUACAUGCAAGUCGAACGCACUCUCGUUUAGAUUGAAGGAGCUUGCUCCUGAUUGAUAAACAUUUGAGUGAGUGGCGGACGGGUGAGUAACACGUGGGUAACCUGCCCUAAAGUGGGGGAUAACAUUUGGAAACAGAUGCUAAUACCGCAUAAAACCUAAACACCGCAUGGUGUAGGGUUGAAAGAUGGUUUCGGCUAUCACUUUAGGAUGGACCCGCGGUGCAUUAGUUAGUUGGUGAGGUAAAGGCUCACCAAGACCGUGAUGCAUAGCCGACCUGAGAGGGUAAUCGGCCACACUGGGACUGAGACACGGCCCAGACUCCUACGGGAGGCAG